GAUGAACGCUGGCUACAGGCUUAACACAUGCAAGUCGAGGGGAAACGACGGGGAAGCUUGCUUCCCCGGGCGUCGACCGGCGCACGGGUGAGUAACGCGUAUCCAACCUGCCUCUGACUGAGGGAUAACCCGUCGAAAGUCGGCCUAAUACCUCAUGGCAUCGUCUGCGGGCAUCCAACGACGAUUAAAGAUUUCAUCGGUCAGAGAUGGGGAUGCGUCUGAUUAGCUUGUUGGCGGGGUAACGGCCCACCAAGGCGACGAUCAGUAGGGGUUCUGAGAGGAAGGUCCCCCACAUUGGAACUGAGACACGGUCCAAACUCCUACGGGAGGCAGCAGUGAGGAAUAUUGGUCGAUGGGCGAGAGCCUGAACCAGCCAAGUAGCGUGCAGGAGGACGGCCCUAUGGGUUGUAAACUGCUUUUAUGCGGGGAUAAAGUGAGGGACGUGUCCUUCAUUGCAGGUACCGCAUGAAUAAGGACCGGCUAAUUCCGUG
This 491-nucleotide ribosomal RNA is filed under the name uncultured bacterium. RNAcentral describes it as "partial 16S ribosomal RNA". It matches the Rfam family "Bacterial small subunit ribosomal RNA", at positions 28 to 507 of the family's 1533-position model. The record is from RNAcentral.